GAUGAACGCUGGCGGCGUGCUUAACACAUGCAAGUCGAACGGUAAGGCCCUUCGGGGUACACGAGUGGCGAACGGGUGAGUAACACGUGGGUGAUCUGCCCUGCACUUCGGGAUAAGCCUGGGAAACUGGGUCUAAUACCGGAUAGGACUCCUGGCUUCAUGGUUGGGGGUGGAAAGCUUUUGCGGUGUGGGAUGGGCCCGCGGCCUAUCAGCUUGUUGGGGGGGUAAUGGCCUACCAAGGCGACGACGGGUAGCCGGCCUGAGGGGGUGACCGGGGACACUGGGACUGAGAUAGGGCCCAGACGCGUACGGGAGGCAGCAGUGGGGAAUAUUGCACAGCGGGCGCAAGCCUGAUGCAGCGACGCCGCGUGCGGGAUGCCGGCCUUCGGGUUGUAAACCUCUUUCAGCUAUGACGAAGCGGAAGUGACGGUAGUAGCAGAAGAAGGACCGGCCAACUACGUGCCAGCAGCCGCAGUAA
RNAcentral lists this ribosomal RNA (478 nucleotides) under uncultured bacterium. RNAcentral's name for it is "partial 16S ribosomal RNA". It matches the Rfam family "Bacterial small subunit ribosomal RNA", at positions 28 to 523 of the family's 1533-position model. The record is from RNAcentral.